UACGAAGGUCCCAAGCGUUAUCCGGAAUCAUUGGGUUUAAAGGGUCCGUAGGCGGUUUAAUAAGUCAGUGGUGAAAGCCCAUCGCUCAACGGUGGAACGGCCAUUGAUACUGUUAAACUUGAAUUAUUAGGAAGUAACUAGAAUAUGUAGUGUAGCGGUGAAAUGCUUAGAGAUUACAUGGAAUACCAAUUGCGAAGGCAGGUUACUACUAAUGGAUUGACGCUGAUGGACGAAAGCGUGGGUAGCGAACAGG
RNAcentral lists this ribosomal RNA (253 nucleotides) under uncultured bacterium. RNAcentral's name for it is "partial 16S ribosomal RNA". It matches the Rfam family "Bacterial small subunit ribosomal RNA", at positions 524 to 776 of the family's 1533-position model. The record is from RNAcentral.